This 400-nucleotide ribosomal RNA is filed under the name uncultured bacterium. Its description in RNAcentral is "bacterial SSU rRNA". It matches the Rfam family "Bacterial small subunit ribosomal RNA", at positions 355 to 771 of the family's 1533-position model. The record is from RNAcentral.
UGAGGAAUAUUGCACAAUGGGCGAAAGCCUGAUGCAGCGACGCCGCGUGGAGGAUGAAGGAUUUCGGUCUGUAAACUCCUGUCAGUAGGGAAGAGAAUGGACGGUACCUACUGAGGAAGCUUCGGCUAACUACGUGCCAGCAGCCGCGGUAAGACGUAGGAAGCAAGCGUUGUCCGGAAUUACUGGGCGUAAAGAGCUCGUAGGCGGGAUCGUAAGUCUUAGAGUAAAUCUCACGGCUCAACCGUGGGGCCUUCUAAGAUACUGCGAUUCUUGAGGAUGUCAGAGGAAAGUAGAAUUCCCGGUGUAGCGGUGAAAUGCGUAGAUAUCGGGAGGAAUACCAGUGGCGAAGGCGACUUUCUGGGACAUUCCUGACGCUGAGGAGCGAAAGCGUGGGGAGCAA